RNAcentral lists this long non-coding RNA (3540 nucleotides) under Arabidopsis lyrata. RNAcentral describes it as "long non-coding RNA (ALYR_LNC002916)". Lineage: Eukaryota; Viridiplantae; Streptophyta; Magnoliopsida; Brassicales; Brassicaceae. The record is from RNAcentral.
UUUCUGCUUAGAUCACAGGUUUGUUUUGUUUUUCUCUUAAACUUUCAUACUUUUCAUAGAUAGAAAAAACUUACAACAUCUCUUAAACACAUAUAUAGAGAUUGCACACUUGCACACAUAGUUUCUUUGCCAUAACUCUAGAUACUAGGAUCACUUACACAAGCAACACCACUUGUGUAUAGGUUCCAGCAACUCCUAACAACUCUUUACUAUUCAGACCUAACAGCUUCUCUUGUUAUUCUAACUUGGUACUUAGCUAACUUAAGAGUACAUCAAGUCUACGAAUGGGUCACAACAAAAACCAUCUAGACAUUUUCUGUUGGGCCAAAAACCAAAUCUGCAGGCCCAAACACAUCUUAACCCAAAACAACUAAACCUUGACUUCUUCUUCUACGUUUCCUUUCGUCAACCUUCGACGCUUCUUCUCUCUUUCUAGAUUCUGGGUUUCAUCACACCAACCCACCUCUUUACUCCCUUGUUCUUCAUUCCUUUCUCAUUGACAUCGUUCUUCUUCUUUGCAGGAUCAAUCGGAGAGUUCAAUCUCAACACUCCCUCUUGAGCUCUUCGAUUGAUAUCUAGAUUUGAUUUUAAAACAGUGAAAUUUGAUACCUUUGGUUUCAGUUGAACGAACGCAGAUUUCACCGGAGGUGCUCUUCUUAGUGCAUCAGCAUAGCUCACAGGUACUUUCAAUUUCAUUGUCUUUCUUUCAUUUGAGAUCUCCAUUGGACUUGCUUCUUCGGUUUUCGUUGCUCCCUCUGAAGUCAUAGCCUUCUUACUUUCUCGCUUCUCUUCUUCUUCAUCUAACUUCAGCCUUUUCUUAGGUUUCAUUGCUCCCUUUUGAGCUUUUAUCUCCUCAAUCUUGUUCUGUUCUGCCUCAGUCCCAACUAACCUCACUUUAGUCUUCUUUUGCAGAUACUCGGAAUUGAAAUCGAUGCCUCCAAACUUGACUGCACUUGAUUUUUCAAUUAGAGGUAAAUCUCUUACCUCUUCCUUGUUUUGCUUUUGAAACUUUAGCGUCUGGUUCUUGACUUCACUUUUGCCAAUGAUUUCCUUCUUUUGAAACCCGAAUCCUUUAUACUUUGACACUUGAUUCUUCUUCUCUAUUUCUUGAUUCUUUUCUGCAUCCUUUUUGCAGGUCUCUUCUCUAGUCCACUUUUGCUCCCUCUCAAUCUUAGGUGAGCAUUCAACUUUCUCCAUCGUGUCUCCUUUUAACACCACAUUGUUCAGCUUGGUUCCUUGAACCACAUAUUUGGUUUCUUUAGCUUUGUUUUCUUCUUUUCCAAGUUCAGAACCACUCUGGUUCUUACCUUUACUCACUGAUUUUCCUUUCACUGCAUCAGCUCCGAUCUUCUUUGGUUGAUACAUCACAGAUUUGUUCUUCUCUUCAGCUUUUUUCUCAGUACACCAAGAUUGCAUCAUCUUUUGAUUUUCGACUUCAGUGUGUCCAGCAUCUUGACGACCAGAUUCAACAUUUUCUUUCGCAACCACCAUUGUAGCUUCUUCAUUUGCUGACAUUUUUAGAUGGAAACUCUUCUUGAUCAUUGGUAUCUCUGCUAUCUUUCUCCCAGCUGGAUCAUGAAUGGUACAGCCUCUUUGAUCGAAGGUAACAUCAUAGUCAUUUUCAAUCAUUUGAGAAACACUUAAUAGAUUUUUGGUGAUCUGUGGAACUAGAAGAACAUCUCUGAUGAUUCUCUUGUCCUUUUUUGUCAUGACUUCAAUGUCUCCUUUUCCUUUUGUUGUCAGCACAGCUCCAUUACCUACACGUAUAGGAACAUUGAAGCUUGUGUUGAGAUUUGAGAAUAGCUUUUCAUCUGAAGACAUAUGAUUUGUGCAUCCACUAUCAAUGAGCCAGACAUUCUCUCCAGGUGAUUCUUGAUCCUCUUGUCUUGCAGUAAACAUGUGGUAGCUUUCUUCUGCUUCAUUGUCUUCUUGGUUGACUUGUGCUUGUUCUCCAUUCUUGACUUUGCAGUCUUUUAUUAGAUGACCCACUUUGCCACAGUGAAAACAACUCCAAUUCCUAGUGUCUCUGUUUUUGUUGAAAUCAGGUCUGAUUUUUCCACUCUUAAUCCAACAUACAUCUUCAUUGUGAUUAUCUCUUUUGCAGUAACCACACCAUCUUUUUGCUCUGUAACUCGUUUGACCUGAAUUCUCUUUGUUCUUGUCUUCCACAUUUAAACUUCUGAACCGUGCAUGAAAGGCUCCUUCUGCAUCUUCUUCAUCUUCAGGGAAGAAUUUCUUUUCAUGUGCCUCAAGAGAUCCAAGCAGCUCAGCAUAGGUAACUGUUUGUAAAUCCUUAGUUUCUUCCAUUAAGGAUGACAGACCAGCAUAACUUUUUGGCAUAGAGGCUAGCAUUUUUACCACUAAAUCAAAGUUUGAUUUCCCUUCACCUAGAGCUCUCAUCUAAUUUGCUACAGCCUGAAUCCUAUCCGAGUAAGUCUUAACUUUCUCCCCUUCUUUCAUUUUCAAGUUUUCAAAUUCCCUUCUUAAAGACUGAAGUCUAACAGUUUUAACUUUCUCAUUACCUUGGUAAGAGUGCUCCAGGAGUUUCCAUGCUUGGUGUGAUGAAGAUGCAGAGAGGAUCUUGUCAAAGACCACAUCAGCCACAGCAUGCUGAAUAAUUUGGAGAGCAGCAGUGUCUUUAGCUUUUAGGGCCUUCAGGGCAGCAUCUUUUCCUUUAUCUGGAGUUUCAGUUGAUUGAGUUGUAGCUUCUGGUACUCCAUCUUUGACGACUUCCCAUAGAUCUUUAUUCAAGAGUGUAGUUUUCAUUCUUGCAGCCCAGAACUCAUAGUUCUGACCAUCAAAGACUGCAACCAGUUGAGAGGACUGCAAGUUCAACGCCAUGUGAGUUCUUCCUUUACUUUGACUUUUCUUCUUCUUAUCUUAAACAGGUUCCAAGAACAAGAUGAGCUCUGAUACCAUGUUGUUUUUCUGCUUAGAUCACAGGUUUGUUUUGUUUUUCUCUUAAACUUUCAUACUUUUCAUAGAUAGAAAAAACUUACAACAUCUCUUAAACACAUAUAUAGAGAUUGCACACUUGCACACAUAGUUUCUUUGCCAUAACUCUAGAUACUAGGAUCACUUACACAAGCAACACCACUUGUGUAUAGGUUCCAGCAACUCCUAACAACUCUUUACUAUUCAGACCUAACAGCUUCUCUUGUUAUUCUAACUUGGUACUUAGCUAACUUAAGAGUACAUCAAGUCUACGAAUGGGUCACAACAAAAACCAUCUAGACAUUUUCUGUUGGGCCAAAAACCAAAUCUGCAGGCCCAAACACAUCUUAACCCAAAACAACUAAACCUUGACUUCUUCUUCUACGUUUCCUUUCGUCAACCUUCGACGCUUCUUCUCUCUUUCUAGAUUCUGGGUUUCAUCACACCAACCCACCUCUUUACUCCCUUGUUCUUCAUUCCUUUCUCAUUGACAUCGUUCUUCUUCUUUGCAGGAUCAAUCGGAGAGUUCAAUCUCAACAAAAGUUCAUUGAUAAACCACAGACAUACAUAUAUACUUUCCCAAGAGGCAGAACAAUGUAAUCUCUC